This 405-nucleotide ribosomal RNA is filed under the name uncultured bacterium. RNAcentral describes it as "partial 16S ribosomal RNA". It matches the Rfam family "Bacterial small subunit ribosomal RNA", at positions 30 to 526 of the family's 1533-position model. The record is from RNAcentral.
AUUGAACGCUAGCGGGAUGCUUUACACAUGCAAGUCGAACGCGUGGGGGACGGGUGAGUAAUAUAUCGGAACGUGCCCAGUAGCGGGGGAUAACUACUCGAAAGAGUGGCUAAUACCACAUACUAUUAGAGAGGCCGAUAUCGGUGUCGCUAGUUGGUGGGGUAAAGGCUCACCAAGGAAACGAGCCGUCGCUGGGUUGAGAGGACGACCAGCCACACUGGGACUGAGACACGGCCCAGACUCCUACGGGAGGCAGCAGUGGGGAAUGUGGGACAAGGGGGGAAACCCUGAUCCAGCCAUCCCGCGUGUAUGAGAAGGCCUUCGGGUUGUAAAGUACUUUUGGCAGAGAAGCGGUAUCUGCAGAAUAAGCACCGGCUAACUACGUGCCAGCCGCCGCGGUAAUAC